Molecule: ribosomal RNA, 253 nt
Filed under: uncultured bacterium
Lineage: Bacteria
Description: partial 16S ribosomal RNA
Rfam family: Bacterial small subunit ribosomal RNA
Source: RNAcentral
UACGUAGGGGGCGAGCGUUGUCCGGAUUUAUUGGGCGUAAAGAGCGUGUAGGCGGCUUUACAGGUCCGUUGUGAAAACUCGAGGCUCAACCUCGAGACGCCGGUGGAAACCGUAAAGCUAGAGUCCGGAAGAGGAGAGUGGAAUUCCUGGUGUAGCGGUGAAAUGCGCAGAUAUCAGGAAGAACGCCCGUGGCGAAGGCGGUUCUCUGGGACGGUACUGACGCUGAGACGCGAAAGCGUGGGGAGCGAACAGG